RNAcentral lists this ribosomal RNA (253 nucleotides) under uncultured bacterium. Its description in RNAcentral is "partial 16S ribosomal RNA". It matches the Rfam family "Bacterial small subunit ribosomal RNA", at positions 524 to 776 of the family's 1533-position model. The record is from RNAcentral.
UACGAAGGGGGCUAGCGUUGCUCGGAAUUACUGGGCGUAAAGGGCGCGUAGGCGGAUAUUUAAGUCGGGGGUGAAAGCCCAGGGCUCAACCCUGGAAUAGCCUUCGAUACUGGAUAUCUUGAGUUCGGGAGAGGUGAGUGGAACUCCGAGUGUAGAGGUGAAAUUCGUAGAUAUUGGGAAGAACACCAGUGGCGAAGGCGGCCAUCUGGCCUGGAAUUGACGCUGAGGCGCGAAAGCGUGGGGAGCAAACAGG